AUCGAUGAAGAACGCAGCGAAAUGCGAUAAGUAGUGUGAAUUGCAGAAUUCAGUGAAUCAUCGAAUCUUUGAACGCACAUUGCGCCCCUUGGUAUUCCAUGGGGCAUGCCUGUUCGAGCGUCAUUUGUACCCUCAAGCUUUGCUUGGUGUUGGGCGUCUUGUCUUUUAUUAGACUCGCCUUAAAGUCAUUGGCAGCCAGUGUUUUUGGUAGUAAGCGCAGCACAUUUUGCGUCUUAGUCCUUGAAUCGUGGCAUCCAUGAAGCCUCUUUUUCACUUUUGACCUCGGAUCAGGUAGGGAUACCCGCUGAACUUAAGCAUAUCAAUAAGCGGAGGAAAAGAAACCAACAGGGAUUGCCUCAGUAACGGCGAGUGAAGCGGCAACAGCUCAAAUUUGAAAUCUGGCUCACGCCCGAGUUGUAAUUUGUAGAGGAUGUUUCGGGUGAAGCCGCGGUCCAAGUCCCUUGGAACAGGACGUCAUAGAGGGUGAGAACCCCGUACCUGGCCGCCGGUGCCCCCCGCUGUGAAACUCCUUCGACGAGUCGAGUUGUUUGGGAAUGCAGCUCUAAAUUGGUGGUAAAUUCCAUCUAAAGCUAAAUACCGGCCAGAGACCGAUAGCGCACAAGUAGAGUGAUCGAAAGAUGAAAAGCACUUUGAAAAGAGAGUUAAAAAGUACGUGAAAUUGUUGAAAGGGAAGCGCUUGCGGCCAGACUUGCCCGCGGUUGCUCAGCCCGCCUUUUGGCGGGUGCACUCUUCCGCGGUCAGGCCAGCAUCGGUUUGGGCGGUCGGAUAAAGGCGUUGGGAACGUGGCCUCCCCUCGGGGAGGUGUUAUAGCCCGGCGCGCAAUGCGACCAGUCCGGACCGAGGUUCGCGCUUUGCUAGGAUGCUGGCGUAAUGGCCGUAAGCGGCCCGUCUUGAAACACGG
This 922-nucleotide ribosomal RNA is filed under the name uncultured fungus. RNAcentral describes it as "eukaryotic LSU rRNA". The stretch from base 278 to 922 matches the Rfam family "Eukaryotic large subunit ribosomal RNA", at positions 1 to 664 of the family's 3401-position model. Lineage: Eukaryota; Fungi. The record is from RNAcentral.